This 96-nucleotide small nuclear RNA is filed under the name Symbiodinium microadriaticum. Lineage: Eukaryota; Dinophyceae; Suessiales; Symbiodiniaceae. The record is from RNAcentral.
GCCCUAAACCAGAGGUUUAUGGAACGAUACAGAGAAGAUUAGCAUGGCCUCUGUGCAAGGAUGACACGCAUAAAUCGAGAAGUGUACCAAGUAAGC